AGAAUAGCCUGCCAUUCUUCCUCCUAUUUCUGAACAGAGCCAGGGGCAGCCAUGGCCACUACUCCACCUCUAAAGCUCCUCCUGCUUCGAUAAAAGUACGCAGGAAAUCCAGUAGGGGAACUGGUCAGGGAUUUGGAUGUUAAAGAAGAAUCGUAGUAUUGGGUUUUGUAGAGAAGAUGGGAUGAAGCUUUU
Telopea speciosissima is the source of this 192-nucleotide long non-coding RNA. RefSeq lists it as uncharacterized. The transcript has 4 exons. The record is from RefSeq and is a predicted model, not a curated record. Lineage: Eukaryota; Viridiplantae; Streptophyta; Magnoliopsida; Proteales; Proteaceae.